CCUGCACCUACUGGCGCCCGAGGGAAGCUUCCCUUAAACAGCCUCCCGAAGAAGAAGGAGUCUCAGAUGCAAAGCUUCUCAGCAUCGCACUUACCAUCAUCACCACCAUCCCAACAGACGACUGAGAGCUUUUUGCAAGGUCGCAAUUGACAAAGAGGACUAGGUCCUUGCGGUUUAGAGUCAGUUAAGAGUCCGUGUGAACUCAACCUUGCCUUUGGCGUUUGAUUUUCAGAGGUUUAAAAUGAACUUCUCAUUGAUGUCCCACUCUACUUGACUUAGCAGGAAAAAGACUAGAGUUGAACUUGCUAACCCAGGAAAAGUUUGUGCCUGUUAGUUAAAAAAAAAAGGGGGGGGUGGAAUUCUAAUAUCAAUGUUUCUGUAAAGUUAUAAUCUGUGGUUUACAUAUGUUAUCACUGAGGUCCAUUUGUACAUGUAUUAUUAGAUUAUCUCCAGAUAGGGAUGUGUCUUCUAUUUCCAUUUUCUCUGCCAGUGCCUUUAUUUCCUAGAAUACUGUUUUUCAUGGAUAGUGUUUUCUUUUGUAUUUCAUCUACACUUUCAUCCUCAUUCCCACUCCUUAUUUAGAAAAGAAAAUCAAGACUCCGUAGAGGAUUCCCUCCCUCUGAAAGAAUCCUCCUUGCAGUUUUUAGUUCUGUCUUCAAACAAUAUCCAUGCUUUCAAAAGACUAAUUCAGUAGUGCUUUGUGCUUCCUAGAUCCGGUAAAUAUAAAUUACACUUGUUUUACUGAUUAAACUAAGGGAAGAAAAGAGUUGGUCAUUGUAUACGCCUUGACCUCUCCCAAGGGUCGGGUCUGUUGAUCUUCUGAGUGUCUUCUUGGUAUUUUUUCCUUAUUUCCAGUGGUAUGUCCUACACAGUGCAUCCUUAGGCCAGGAGACGCAGUAGGAAAAUGACUCUACCUUUCAUGAGAAAAGGGUACCAGUUGGUAUUAGCUGAUCAGAGAGUUGCUUUAAAAAUAAAAUGCUUAUGUAUUGAUGAGACACUGAUUCAAACAAGUGUGACCUAUUUUAUCUUACCAGGUUAGUAUUGUGUUUUUUUGUUUUGUUUUGUUUUGUUUUGUUUUCCUGAAAGAGUAGGAGGAGGUGGGUAGGUUGAAAGGGGAAAGGAAAAAGUAACAAGGCAAAAUAUUGAGGUUCUGAAAGCGGUUUGGGGUUAACUGGAGGAAAAAAUAACUGAUGCCUCAUAAGCUCUGUCAACCAAGCAAAGUUAUGGCCAAGUUUUAGUAACGAUCAAAGAUCUAUGUCCUGUAAGAUUAUUUUGGGGUGGGGGGGAACAAAAAAGAGGGUGAGAAUUUUCUUC
This 1314-nucleotide long non-coding RNA is filed under the name Homo sapiens (human). RNAcentral's name for it is "HSALNT0172670". Lineage: Eukaryota; Metazoa; Chordata; Mammalia; Primates; Hominidae. The record is from RNAcentral.